RNAcentral lists this ribosomal RNA (253 nucleotides) under uncultured Oscillospira sp. Its description in RNAcentral is "partial 16S ribosomal RNA". It matches the Rfam family "Bacterial small subunit ribosomal RNA", at positions 524 to 776 of the family's 1533-position model. The record is from RNAcentral. Lineage: Bacteria; Bacillati; Bacillota; Clostridia; Eubacteriales; Oscillospiraceae.
UACGUAGGUGGCAAGCGUUAUCCGGAUUUACUGGGUGUAAAGGGCGUGUAGGCGGGAUGGUAAGUCAGAUGUGAAAACUAUGGGCUCAACCCAUAGCCUGCAUUUGAAACUAUCGUUCUUGAGUGUUGGAGAGGCAGGCGGAAUUCCGUGUGUAGCGGUGAAAUGCAUAGAUAUCACGCAGAACUCCGAUUGCGAAGGCAGCUUACUAAGCCAUAACUGACACUGAAGCACGAAAGCGUGGGGAUCAAACAGG